Molecule: long non-coding RNA, 135 nt
Organism: Mytilus californianus (California mussel)
Lineage: Eukaryota; Metazoa; Mollusca; Bivalvia; Mytilida; Mytilidae
Exons: 3
Source: RefSeq, a predicted model, not a curated record
UCAGAUAUGCAACAUUAUCAAAGUAGUAAAACCUAUGAAUCACUUGGUACCAAAUACGCUGUAGAUGUUUAUGAUGAUUUACAGAAUCCUAAAGACUUGACAUCGUCGAAAUCGUAAGUAGUUUUUGGGAUAUUC